Vidua chalybeata is the source of this 1487-nucleotide long non-coding RNA. RefSeq lists it as uncharacterized. The transcript is spliced from 2 exons. Lineage: Eukaryota; Metazoa; Chordata; Aves; Passeriformes; Viduidae. The record is from RefSeq and is a predicted model, not a curated record.
UGACCCUAACACAAACACAGCCACAGCAUUUUGUGCUGACCAUAAGUAAUGCCUCAGUGCAUUUGAUAUUCCCUAGCAUCGCAUUAGGAUUGAAUCAUGAUGGACCCACUUUCUAUCCUUCUGAACACAGAGAAUGGGCCCGUCAAAUUGAUGACAAACGGCAAACUGUCAAUUUAGAGUCCUGUACUAUCCGAGAACAACUAGGGUUUAUCUGUGAAGGUAAUGCAAUAAUAGCUCAAGAUAUCUGUUUAGACACAGAACAAAAUAGCUGUCAUUUUGAUAUUCAUCCUAACGAGACUUCUGAAACAGUCCUUGUAUAUACAGGCAAUGGGCGUGUAUAUACAAGAACCACUUGUGAUACUGUGUUUAUAGAAAGUACAGUAGUAGAUACUAAAAAUCAUUCAAAUUAUUGUGCUUGCAACUUUACUAAAAUUGCAGGAUGUGAUUUUUCUUUUGUAGCUCCAGUUACCUUACAUGAACUUUUAGAAUCCAAUCUCAUGUUGAUUCACAAGCUACUGCCUACUCCCAUUGGGAUGAACCUUACUUUGGUAAAGCAACCAUUACUUCAUCAAGAUCUAAUAGAGAUCCUAGGAAAAAUCAAGGAGAAUGGACAGAAAACUCUGUCCUGAAGACUCCACGACGACACCAUGGAACCCUGCUGAUGAAGAUCUUUCGAGGGCAAUCGUCACUCACGGGGUGGUGUAAGAGCCCGUCUGAAGCCCCUCAUUUUCCAUUCUGCCUUCCGAUUGCCACAAGAAAGAAUCCCUUCCUCCACUGCAGUUCCGGCUUAGAACAGGACACAGUGCAGGUGCAACCACUGAACCGUCAUGCUGGCUGAUCCCAACAAGGCCUGGUAAGAACUUGGCAAGGACUUGGCAAGGACUUGGCAAAGACCUGACGUGGACCCAGCACGGGACAGCCUGAUGCGCGGCCUGCUUCUAAUCUCCGUUCUUAAGCCAAAUGAACUUUUGGGGUGACUCCCGGGGUCCUUCAUUGAAGACCCCUCAUCUGCCUCGUUACCAGUGUGACAAACAAAGAAUGAGAACCCUCCUCCCAAGGACUGAGACUGAGACCCCUGCUAUAGGGAGGAGGGGAAAUUGGUGGUCUGACCACUAAUGACAUGACCUGUUUCCCUUCAGUGAUUCAAAUGGACUUAUUCUUCAUUGGAUUCGUCUUGCUUUGGUGGUUUCUGUGGACUCACCUGUUCCCGCGUGGCGAUUACAAUGGACUUUCGUUGUUACACUUGCUCCCCCCUCUUUCCUCUGUGGACUAUAACUGGAGCCCCGAGUCGACCAGAACUUCGGAGACUCCCCCGACACGACAGACGGAUCCCCAUCGUCCGGACCACUGAGGAUCUCGCCUGUGUUGGUAGCUAUUCCCAUACCCCUCUCUCUCUCUCUCUCUCUCUCUCCUUUUAUCUCCUUUCCGAUCCCCACUAUCGCAUUUACUGUUUUGGCCCCUAAUAAAGGUGCAUUUGUUGUGAUUAA